Molecule: ribosomal RNA, 490 nt
Filed under: uncultured bacterium
Lineage: Bacteria
Description: partial 16S ribosomal RNA
Rfam family: Bacterial small subunit ribosomal RNA
Source: RNAcentral
GUGAACGCUGGCGGUAGGCCUAACACAUGCAAGUCGAACGGCAGCACAGUAAGAGCUUGCUCUUACGGGUGGCGAGUGGCGGACGGGUGAGGAAUACAUCGGAAUCUACUUUUUCGUGGGGGAUAACGUAGGGAAACUUACGCUAAUACCGCAUACGACCUACGGGUGAAAGCAGGGGAUCUUCGGACCUUGCGCGAUUGAAUGAGCCGAUGUCGGAUUAGCUAGUUGGCGGGGUAAAGGCCCACCAAGGCGACGAUCCGUAGCUGGUCUGAGAGGAUGAUCAGCCACACUGGAACUGAGACACGGUCCAGACUCCUACGGGAGGCAGCAGUGGGGAAUAUUGGACAAUGGGCGCAAGCCUGAUCCAGCCAUACCGCGUGGGUGAAGAAGGCCUUCGGGUUGUGAAGCCCUUUUGUUGGGAAAGAAAAGCAGCAGGUUAAUACCCCGCUGUUCUGACGGUACCCAAAGAAUAAGCACCGGCUAACUUCGU